AGCAGUAGCCGCGGUAAUACGAAGGGGGCUAGCGUUGUUCGGAUUUACUGGGCGUAAAGCGCACGUAGGCGGAUCGAUCAGUCAGGGGUGAAAUCCUGGAGCUCAACUCCAGAACUGCCUUUGAUACUGUCGAUCUCGAGUCCGGAAGAGGUGAGUGGAACUCCUAGUGUAGAGGUGGAAUUCGUAGAUAUUAGGAAGAACACCAGUGGCGAAGGCGGCUCACUGGUCCGGUACUGACGCUGAGGUGCGAAAGCGUGGGGAGCAAACAGGAUUAGAUACCCGAGUAGUCCCUGUCUCUUAUAC
RNAcentral lists this ribosomal RNA (303 nucleotides) under uncultured bacterium. RNAcentral's name for it is "partial 16S ribosomal RNA". It matches the Rfam family "Bacterial small subunit ribosomal RNA", at positions 507 to 807 of the family's 1533-position model. The record is from RNAcentral.